Hordeum vulgare subsp. vulgare (domesticated barley) is the source of this 1069-nucleotide long non-coding RNA. RefSeq lists it as uncharacterized. NCBI's taxonomy places the organism in Eukaryota, Viridiplantae, Streptophyta, Magnoliopsida, Poales, Poaceae. The record is from RefSeq and is a predicted model, not a curated record. The transcript has 2 exons.
UCUCCUCUCCACGCCUCACAUCCCACGCCCCACAUUCCCCGAGCUCCAUCAUCCUUCCGCCCCCUGAUGGAACCGGCGACCCACCCCACCCACCAUCGGUGCCGCCUCAGCAACCCCUCCCCUCUCGCCCCCACCACCUACCACCACCGACGUCCGAUCCACACCCUGACUAAACCCGCCCCACCUUCUUCCUCCCGAUGAGCCGCCAGGGGGCACACCAUAUUCCUCCGUCGGGACGCCCGGUUACAUCUCGACAGUCAAGGCGGGGUGAGUAGGGCCUCAUGCUGCUCGCUUGUGGGGAGAAGGAGGGGAUGUACCAGGCGGUGGCAGGAUUCAUUCCAUAGUGACCGGAUUUGUUCCCAUGGCCUGACGGACAAGCAUUGGCCGCAUGAACCAAGUAGGAGCGGAGAAAGCCGCCACGCCCCUCCAGGUUAGAUGCCCCGCCUCGGCCCCUCUCGCGCCGCCCUUCUGUGGUUUGCACCUUCGUGGCGGACGGCGAUGAGUCCUGCACCAUCCAGCUCCACACCCCGCAUGAAGUGCACAAUGGAUGCAUUGCUAUUCACCCUUCUCCCCCUCGUUCCUAUGCCACAUCCUCCUCCUUUUUCCCACCUGCUACCCUUCCUCUUCGUUGAGAAGGACAAGCCACCUCGUCGGUGAGGAUCCUAGUGACCACGAGCCAUCGAAUGAAGUGGACCGAACUGCAGACUCGUGGUGGUCGAGCUGCACGCCCCCUUAUGCAGAACUGCAUCAGAGUGUGAAGAUUCAGCGCACGAAGCGUGUGUGCUCGGAGGAGAGGUCGUGCAGUGUUGUCUUUUUCAGACUUGCAGCGCAUGGUAGCUUCCCCUUGCAUAUCAAAAGAUGGGUUGUCAUGAAGUUUGGCUAGUUCCACUUAUGAAAUUUCAUGUAAAAUAUAACUAUGUAUGGUUUCGCUCGGUGGGGUUUAUUUACGUGCAUGUUAUACUUCGGAAGAAAAUUGAUGUGGUUCAUUUUGUGGGAGUUGGUGGUUCACUUUAUAAAGAAAGACAAAGAGGAAAAGAAACUCCCAAUAGAAGUUCACUUCUUUUUCCAA